Molecule: ribosomal RNA, 309 nt
Filed under: uncultured eukaryote
Lineage: Eukaryota
Description: partial 18S ribosomal RNA
Rfam family: Eukaryotic small subunit ribosomal RNA
Source: RNAcentral
CCCUUAGAUGUUCUGGGCGGCCCGCGCACUACAUUGGCACCAGCAAAGAGAUCCUAGAUUGAAUUCUUUGGGGUAUUCUUCUAAAUGGUGUCGUGACUGGGAUAAAUCCUUGUAAUUAUUGGUUUUGAACGAGGAAUUCCUUGUAAUCGCGGUUUAUCAGCUCGCGUUGAAUGCGUCCCUGCCCUUUGUACACACCGCCCGUCGCUCCUACCGAUGGAUCGUCCGGUGAAGCUCACGGAGUGACUGUUCACGCAACGGUUUACGAAGUGAAAUGGACCUCACGAUUUAGAGGAAGGAGAAGUCGUAACA